Molecule: small nucleolar RNA, 82 nt
Filed under: Petasospora fabianii
Lineage: Eukaryota; Fungi; Ascomycota; Saccharomycetes; Phaffomycetales; Wickerhamomycetaceae
Description: Cyberlindnera fabianii Small nucleolar RNA R38
Rfam family: Small nucleolar RNA R38
About the family: snoR38 is a C/D box small nucleolar RNA conserved across yeast, human, Arabidopsis and rice. It is encoded in the intron of elongation factor-1 gamma in both pombe and cerevisiae. snoR38 guides the methylation of 2'-O-ribose sites in 28S rRNA.
Source: Rfam by way of RNAcentral
GCAAUGAUGAUACUCCAUUAUUUUUUAAACAGUUAUCCCUGUCUUAACACAUUAUGUCGAGAAGUUUUAUUCUGAAGAUUAC